RNAcentral lists this ribosomal RNA (1025 nucleotides) under unidentified. RNAcentral's name for it is "bacterial SSU rRNA". It matches the Rfam family "Bacterial small subunit ribosomal RNA", at positions 355 to 1381 of the family's 1533-position model. The record is from RNAcentral. RNAcentral also lists the same sequence under 1 other name.
UGAGGAAUAUUGGUCAAUGGGCGAGAGCCUGAACCAGCCAAGUAGCGUGCAGGAUGACGGCCCUAUGGGUUGUAAACUGCUUUUAUAUGGGAAUAAAGUGAGGGACGUGUCCCUUAUUGCAUGUACCAUACGAAUAAGGACCGGCUAAUUCCGUGCCAGCAGCCGCGGUAAUACGGAAGGUCCAGGCGUUAUCCGGAUUUAUUGGGUUUAAAGGGAGCGUAGGCUGUUUGUUAAGCGUGUUGUGAAAUGUAAGAGCUCAACUUUUAGAUUGCAGCGCGAACUGGCAGACUUGAGUGCGCACAACGUAGGCGGAAUUCAUGGUGUAGCGGUGAAAUGCUUAGAUAUCAUGACGAACUCCGAUUGCGAAGGCAGCUUACGGGAGCGCAACUGACGCUAAAGCUCGAAGGUGCGGGUAUCGAACAGGAUUAGAUACCCUGGUAGUCCGCACAGUAAACGAUGGAUGCCCGCUGUUAGCACCUAGUGUUAGCGGCUAAGCGAAAGCAUUAAGCAUCCCACCUGGGGAGUACGCCGGCAACGGUGAAACUCAAAGGAAUUGACGGGGGCCCGCACAAGCGGAGGAACAUGUGGUUUAAUUCGAUGAUACGCGAGGAACCUUACCCGGGCUUGAAUUGCAGAUGUUUAUAUCAGAGAUGAUAUAUUCCCUUCGGGGCAUUUGUGAAGGUGCUGCAUGGUUGUCGUCAGCUCGUGCCGUGAGGUGUCGGCUUAAGUGCCAUAACGAGCGCAACCCCUUUUUUUAGUUGCCAUCAGGUAAUGCUGGGCACUCUAGAGAUACUGCCACCGUAAGGUGUGAGGAAGGUGGGGAUGACGUCAAAUCAGCACGGCCCUUACGUCCGGGGCUACACACGUGUUACAAUGGGUGGUACAGAGAGUUGGUUGUACGCAAGUGCAAUCUAAUCCUAAAAACCAUUCUCAGUUCGGACUGGGGUCUGCAACCCGACCCCACGAAGCUGGAUUCGCUAGUAAUCGCGCAUCAGCCAUGGCGCGGUGAAUACGUUCCCGGGCCU